RNAcentral lists this long non-coding RNA (937 nucleotides) under Oryctolagus cuniculus (rabbit). RNAcentral describes it as "lncRNA (ENSOCUG00000036132.1)". The record is from RNAcentral. Lineage: Eukaryota; Metazoa; Chordata; Mammalia; Lagomorpha; Leporidae.
AUGAAACAAUUGUUAUUUAAGAAAAUGAGGAAUCCAGGAUUGAGUCAGGAAACACAGGGAGAGGAGUCUGGAAGUGUCUGUGGGAGUUUCUCAGUAGAAUCCAUAGUUCCAGUAUCUCCUAUAGCAGAAUGGGUAGCUGCUGUAUCCAUACAGACCAUAGCCACAGCCAUAGCCCAGGCCACCAUAGCCACAGCCAUAGUAGCACAUAGUGUCAGAGGUUGAAGAUUCAGUCAAGAAUCAGGUAACCAGCGUCGACAAUCUGAACACCACUAGCUAUCCCUGUGCUUUUAUACACCUUCAGUGAUGGGUGGGGCAAACCACAGGAAAAGGUGGACUCAUAAUUCACUUUAAUUUACAUUAGAAAAAUUCCCCGUUUGUUUCUUUAGGCAAAGAAUUUUCAUACUUUAGAUUCUUUCUACUUUAAGUUAGGAGUCCCAUGAUUAAGCCACCUUACUUUUAUGAUAAAUGAUUACUGUAUUUACAAAUCUACAUCAAAGUAGUCUAUUGUGAAAAGUUCUCAACUGUGGUUUUUAUUUUUUUUUUUGAAUUUCAAAAAAAUAGUAAACUGCUUGUGUCAGGAGCUUAGAUGCAUAGAGAGACAUUUUAAGUAAAAUAAGAAUUUUGUGGGAGGGGAGCUGUGUCAUAGAAAAUUAAGCCAUCUGCCACCUGCUACUCUAUAUCGAGAGCAAUUCUUGGCAAUACUGGAUUAGAUAAUGGCCUGAGUAUUUAGGUUCCUACCACCCAUGUGAGAAACCUGUAUGUAUCUUGGGAUCCCAGCUUCAGCCUGUCUCAGCUCUGGCUGUUGAGGCCAUUUGAAGGAAUGAAACAGGAGAUGGAAAAACACUCUGUGUGUGUGUGUGUGUGUGUGUAUUUCUCCCUCUUUCAUUCACAUUGACUUUCAAAUAAAUAAAUAUUUACAGUAGAAUUUAUAUGUAUG